Molecule: long non-coding RNA, 729 nt
Organism: Micropterus dolomieu (smallmouth bass)
Lineage: Eukaryota; Metazoa; Chordata; Actinopteri; Centrarchiformes; Centrarchidae
Exons: 4
Source: RefSeq, a predicted model, not a curated record
UCCAUAGUAUACGAGAACUGCUUAAGACAACUGGCUACAUUUCUGAUCCUGCCUGUGGAUAAAUGCACUGGCCUUCUGAGGACUGGUGCGCCGUGCAACUCUGUUGCACCCUUUGAGAUCAACAUCACCACCAAGGUCACAGCAGCUACUAUCGAAUGGAUAUAAUGGACACAGCUUGUGGAGGUGGAAUUCCCAGCCUGUGAUGAAGUUUGGGAUGCAAGCUGGAGAUUUCUUGUCCACCAACAUUUUGUUGUCUGGCAACAACUACGCAAAGGUUGCCCUCUUGUUCAAAUUCAUGAACAUGGGGAUGGUGAACAGGAACACCUUCUUCUCCAUUCAGGACACUUAUUGCGUCAAUACAAUAAAGGACUUCUGGGAAGAAAGAAGGACAGAGGUUCUUUGUCGCCUUCAAGGGAAAGAUGUUGUUGUCCUAGAUGGCAGAAAUGACUCUCCUGGUCACUGUGCACAAUACUGCAGCUACACCACCAUGGAGAAUGACGCCAAGGAGAUCAUUCAUGUUGCCACCAUAGACAAGUGGCAAACAUCAUGGAACUCUGUCGUCUUGGAGAAGGAGUUUCAUCCAGACUGGACAAGCUUACAUCAGAAAUAAAGCUAGUGGAGAUCUGCACAGAUGCUCAUGCCCAGAUUGGUGCCCUUAUGAACCCAGACAAAGGCAAAUACAAGGCCCUUGGAAUUCAUGACAGUCUGGACAUAUGGCAUGGUGCGAAG